AUUGAACGCUGGCGGAAUGCUUUACACAUGCAAGUCGAACGGCAGCGCGGGGGCAACCCUGGCGGCGAGCGGCGAACGGGUGAGUAACAUAUCGGAACGUACCCAGUCGUGGGGGAUAACUAUCCGAAAGGAUAGCUAAUACCGCAUACGACCUGAGGGUGAAAGCGGGGGGACCGUAAGGCCUCGCGCGAUUGGAGCGGCCGAUAUCGGAUUAGCUAGUUGGUGGGGUAAAGGCUCACCAAGGCGACGAUCCGUAGCUGGUCUGAGAGGACGACCAGCCACACUGGAACUGAGACACGGACCAGACUCCUACGGGAGGCAGCAGUAAGGAAUAUUGGUCAAUGGGCGCAAGCCUGAACCAGCCAUGCCGCGUGCAGGAAGACGGCCCUAUGGGUUGUAAACUGCUUUUGUCAGGGAAUAAACCUGUCUACGUGUAGACAGCUGAAGGUACCUGAAGAAUAAGCAUCGGCUAACUCCGUGCCAGCAGCCGCGGUAAU
This 497-nucleotide ribosomal RNA is filed under the name uncultured bacterium. RNAcentral describes it as "bacterial SSU rRNA". It matches the Rfam family "Bacterial small subunit ribosomal RNA", at positions 29 to 524 of the family's 1533-position model. The record is from RNAcentral.